CCUCCCCUUUGCGGCCAAAGUAACACACAGGGCAGGUGAUGCUAAUAGCCCUGGGGUGGGGUUAUUGACAGCUUUCCCCACCUCUCUCUUCCUCCCUCUCUCAUCACAGCCCCCAGCACAGCAUGGGGGGAAAACCAAACGCUCCACCUGAAGUCCCUGUGCUGCCUGUUUGCUGGUUGUCCCGGAGGAGAAAGGGGAUUAGCCUGCAUCAUCGUUUUGAUCCUCGGAGAGCUACAGGAAUCUUGAGACCCCUCCAGAGAGGAGCUUCCGCGCUUGUGAGAAGAUCAUUGGAGCCAGGUGGUGGACACAGCUCAUGGCCAGGCUGGGUUCUUCCUGACUUUGGCCUUGGACAUCUAAAUGGCUGGAGCAAAAUUUUGUGUGCUUCUGUGUCCUCAGGUGGAGCAGGUAGAAGCUCCCAAAAGCCUGCAUCGAUCUGGGAAACAGCAGAGAAGGUUCCUGGUCUCCUGGCUGCCCCGGGACUGCAGUGACGUUUCCCUGGAAGCUACUCUCUCCCUUCCCCCCUCCAAGCAAAAAGGCUUUGGAUUCUCCUCCGCGUGCGGACUGGAGAAUCCCCUGGGAAGAGCUGGGGCAGGAAGGCAGCAGCAUGUUCUGGCUGCAAAAAGGAGGCAGAGGAGAAGUCCUGCGCCUGCCUGGCGCAGUGUAGCCUCCAGGGAUUAAUUAAAGGCUUUUUCAGUUUUC
Long non-coding RNA from Pogoniulus pusillus (Red-fronted tinkerbird), 699 nucleotides. RefSeq lists it as uncharacterized. The transcript is spliced from 3 exons. The record is from RefSeq and is a predicted model, not a curated record. NCBI's taxonomy places the organism in Eukaryota, Metazoa, Chordata, Aves, Piciformes, Lybiidae.